CAGAAAUGGAGCAGGAAAGAUCCUUUCCAUCUGUCGUUCUUCUACAGACAUCAGCAGCUCAGAAGUGGAUGGAGCUGAGAGUUAUUUGCUGAGCUUCAGAGCAGAGUUGAUGCAUACACGGGGGACACUUACCCACUUCACUGGGAAAUGUGAGCCCCCAGCAUGGUGCUCUGGAGCUGUGCAGACAUGUUUCGUCUUACGGAGCUGAGUAUCUGCUUUUCAGCAGCUGAGCCCUGGGGACACGGUGCUAGGCAGAGCAGUGAGGAAUGAGGCUUCCUUUCAGAGAGGUUAGCUCAUCUCUUAGCGUCCGUGGAAAAGAGCUUACCUCACAUUCUCACCUGGACUGUUGCCCUUAAUCUAUGGCACUCGCUAAAGAGGAAAAUAGAAUCGAGCAUGUUCAAGCGAAUGUUUUCCAUGUUUUGAUCUUGUUUCUUGAGCUCAGCUCGGAGCAGUGUGGGAAGUGCCUUUUGGGCAGCGUGUGCAAUUACUCCCAGGCCUUCCAGAAAGCAGAGGUUAGCUGUGCAAUGGACUCCGAAUGUGCAGAGAGUCUGCAAUCAGAAGUCAAAAAUAAAAUGACUAUAAUUAGUAAUGACCAAAGCAACUGGAAAUGGUGUCAGUCAGAGCCGAGCCAGCUUUCUUUUUAUCUGUCACCUAAUGAAUGAGGGCUGAGGUUAUUCUCCAAGGAUGAGAGGGCUGAAUUUUUUUCCCAUUCAAAUCUGGUGCUGUGGGACAAAUGCAAACUCAGGGCUCAUUUACUACCUUGUUUUUCAGCUAUGGAACCUGCAGGCAGGUUGUGAGCAAUUACGCUUUUCCCCAAAGCAUCUAAAAUAACACGGCUCUGCUCGCUGUCCUGGAGAGCGCCGCUGACGCCAUCCUGUCACCUUGGAGAUGGAUAAACAGCUCCAGCAACACUGGGUUAUAAUCUUUCAGGUCUGAGCUUCUAAGCUGACAGCCGUACAAUUGAGACAUGAGUCUAGCAAAGAUUUUUGAUCGUGGAAAGAGUCUAAAUGUAAGAUGAGAGGAGAAGAGAGGAGAGGAGGGGGAGAAAGAGCUUAAGCCAGGCUCAGUGACCAGGCUUUUUGCUUGGCUGCAACAGCAGUGAAUGAAAUGAUUUAGCUGUGGCUCACACUCCUUGCAGCAUGGGGUGACUCAGGUAGUGCGCAGGCAUACUUGGGCCUGCAGGGCUUUAUUUUUAGAUGUCUGAAUCACUGUCAUGCCUAUAGCCUCAUAGAGCCGUUAGACGAGUGGGGAUGCCCACAG
This is a long non-coding RNA of Gallus gallus (chicken), 1260 nucleotides long. The record is from Ensembl. Lineage: Eukaryota; Metazoa; Chordata; Aves; Galliformes; Phasianidae.